RNAcentral lists this non-coding RNA (26 nucleotides) under Rattus norvegicus (Norway rat). The record is from RNAcentral. Lineage: Eukaryota; Metazoa; Chordata; Mammalia; Rodentia; Muridae.
CCAUUUACCAUGUACUCAGUCUAGAC